Molecule: transfer RNA, 74 nt
Filed under: Elusimicrobiota bacterium
Lineage: Bacteria; Pseudomonadati; Elusimicrobiota
Description: Elusimicrobia bacterium (rhizosphere metagenome) tRNA-Pro
Rfam family: tRNA
About the family: Transfer RNA (tRNA) molecules are approximately 80 nucleotides in length. Their secondary structure includes four short double-helical elements and three loops (D, anti-codon, and T loops).
Source: RNAcentral
CGGGGUGUAGCUCAGUUGGCUAGAGCGCUUGGUUCGGGACCAAGAGGCCGCAGGUUCAAGUCCUGUCACCCCGA